Long non-coding RNA from Dreissena polymorpha, 309 nucleotides. RefSeq lists it as uncharacterized. The record is from RefSeq and is a predicted model, not a curated record. Lineage: Eukaryota; Metazoa; Mollusca; Bivalvia; Myida; Dreissenidae. The transcript is spliced from 3 exons.
CUUCACGAUUUGCGGGAAAGAAGACGUCCAUAUUGGUCGCAGUAGUAUUUCUACAAUUUUAUUAUGUUUCCAUAAAGUAACAUCACUGGGGUUCAUCUACAGACCAAGUUCAGUCAUAAGAUGUCAUAGGAGGCCAAUCCACAAUUGGGCUAAGACAGUUUUGUGACAGUUAACAUUGUGACGGUUUUGAGAAGCUUUGGACUCGCUGUUCAGAUAAAUUAUUCUUUAAGACUGAAUUACAAUUGUAUUAUUAUUGUUAUUAUUAAAUAUUGAGAGAAACAUAUUAAAAGACAUGUUAGAAUUUAAUAA